Molecule: ribosomal RNA, 333 nt
Filed under: uncultured bacterium
Lineage: Bacteria
Description: bacterial SSU rRNA
Rfam family: Bacterial small subunit ribosomal RNA
Source: RNAcentral
UGCGUAGGCGGCUUGGUAAGUCACGUGUGAAAGGCCGGGGCUCAACCCCGGAUCUGCAUGUGAGACUGCCUGGCUCGAGCACGGUAGAGGCGGGCGGAAUUCCUGGUGUAGCGGUGGAAUGCGUAGAUAUCAGGAAGAACACCGGUGGCGAAGGCGGCUCGCUGGGCCGUUGCUGACGCUGAGGCACGAAAGCGUGGGGAGCAAACAGGAUUAGAUACCCUGGUAGUCCACGCCCUAAACGAUGGACACUAGGCGUCGGGGGGAGCGACCCUCCCGGUGCCGUCGCUAACGCAAUAAGUGUCCCGCCGUGGGGAGUACGGCCGCAAGGCUGAA